This 158-nucleotide unclassified non-coding RNA is filed under the name uncultured Leotiomycetes. RNAcentral's name for it is "sequence contains ITS1". Lineage: Eukaryota; Fungi; Ascomycota; Leotiomycetes. The record is from RNAcentral.
AAGAGAUCAUGCCCUCACGGGUAGACCUCCCACCCUUUGUAUACUAUACUUUGUUGCUUUGGCGAACCUGCUUCGGCUACCGGCUCCGGCUGGUUCGUGUUCGCCAGAGGACCUAAAACUCUGAAUUAUAAUGCCGUCUGAGUACUAUAUAAUAGUUA